Molecule: ribosomal RNA, 452 nt
Filed under: uncultured bacterium
Lineage: Bacteria
Description: bacterial SSU rRNA
Rfam family: Bacterial small subunit ribosomal RNA
Source: RNAcentral
GAUAAACGCUGGCGGCGUGCCUAACACAUGCAAGUCGAACGAUCCCGCAAGGGAGAGUGGCGGAAGGGUGAGUAACACGUGGGAAUCUACCUCCUCGCAGGGAACAACCUCUCGAAAGAGAGGCUAAUACCCAAAAGGGUCAGAAAUGAUCAGAGUCGAAAGGCGUGAGGAGAGGAGCCCGCGGCCCAUCAGCUAGUUGGUGAGGUAAUGGCUUACCAAGGCUACGACGGGUAGGGGAUCUGAGAGGAUGUCCCCCACACUGGAACUGAAACACGGUCCAGACGCCUACGGGUGGCAGCAGUGAGGAAUAUUGGACAAUGGGCGAAAGCCCGAUCCAGCAACGCCGCGUGGAGGAUGAAGGCCUUCGGGUCGGUAAACUUCUUUAGUAGGGAGACGAGAAAGGACGGUAUCCCUAGAAUAAAGCGACGGGCAAACUAACGUGCCAGCAGCCG